CCACUCUUGCUGUGCAAACUCAAUUUCCUGUAUCCUACUCUACGUAUUUUCGAAGCAGUCAUCGCCAUAUGGUAUACUCUCUCUAGAUUAUUUUCUUGGGCAUUUGCCUAUUGUCACCUUUUCUUCUCACUAGCAUGUGGCUCCAUGAGGGCAAAUACUUAAUCUGUUAUGUUCACUGGGGCAUCUCCAGAACUUGCCUGAAACCCAGUAGGUGUUCAAUAAGUUCUGGAGGGAUGAAUGAAUGACUCCUCUCACUGUAAGGAAGUUUGGGAUAUGUAGUCUAUCUGGGCACAUUUCUAUCUGUUCUCUUUGCAGGGGAGAAAGGGAUGAGGAUGUUGGAUAAGCAGCUCAGCAUGUUCCCCAACAUGUAAGGGAAUCAGGUCGAGUUCUACACUCUCCUUCUUGGUACACAUCCUCAGAAUGCAGGAAGUGCCUGUGCUUGCUGUGAGUCUUUGUGGACAGAGGCAGGAUCAUGCUGGCUAGAAUCUAGUGGACAAGGGCAGCACAUUCCCCCUGUUCCCAGGUGGGUCCAGAGAUGUCGCCUGGGAGCCAGGGCCUGGAGUUCUGUUACUGUGGCUGAGCUUGCACCCAAGCUACAAGAUGACAUCCUACUCUUCCCUCACCUUUCUACAAGUAGAGGAGUCUCUUCUCAUGGCCACCAUUGUCCCAGGAUGUGAGGUCUGGAACAGCUGCAGCCAUUUUGCCACCAUGGGAAACCUGGGACAUCUGAACUGACUCCAUGAAGCCUGAAGAGAAAGCUAAUAAGAAGGCAGAGAGAAGAGGAAGAGUCUUGGUCUUUGGAAAUAUCUUUUGGAGCUGCUGGAUCAAGUAUCACUUGAAGUAUUAUUGAAUUUAUUCCCCGAAGGAGAGCGGCUAAGAGUAUUGCCCAGCCACAGGCUCUCAACCACCAACCCGAGCCUCAGAUUCUCCUCACACAGCCACAGCUGUACCACAUGGCCCACGUGAAAUCUGAAUCCACAUGAAAACAAUGGCAACAAGAAAAAGGUGUAAACUUUCCAGAACAGGCCCAGAAUUUGAAAAUGUGAUAAAGAGGUUAUUGUGCGCCCGAACUUUUCACACAAGAAUUGGAGGAGAUUUAACACAUGGAAUAAUAAACAGAGGAAGGCGGGCUAAUGCAGAGCAGAUGGGCCUGCAGGGCAGUGCUCAGCAUUUCAACAUCUUUCCCCUGGACCUUUGGACCCAAGGUAAGAAAACUGAAGUUCAGAAAAGGGAGGGGACUGACUCAAUCCCAGCUGCUGGCAGAUCUGGGACUGCAAACCAGCCUUCCAUUGCUCCACACAGGUGUCUCUUCUCACGUGGAAUCACAGCAUUGGAUGGACUGAAAAGAGGAAGAGGCUGCAAUGGAGCAGCACACCUGGUGCGUGGGGAUGCCUGGAAAACAAAAUUAGGAGAGCCCUGGGUCAGCAUUGCUCUGGCACUGGCUGGGCCGGGGGCCAUCCUGAUUCUAGAAUUAUCUUGGUUCCUGGGAUAGAAAUGUCCCCAGAGUGGAGAAGUUCAGUUCAAUCCAACAUCCUUAUAUUGCAAUGAGGAUAAAGACCACAGACCCUAUGGCCUGUAUGACCCAGCUGCCCAUUUCUAGGAACCCAUUCCUACAGAAAUGACAACAUGCGUGUGCAAACAGCAACAAUGACAAACAUACCCUGGGAUGCUUUCCCUCUGUGGUUUGUUAUAGUAAGAUAGCGGCUACAGCUUAUAUAUCAUCAACAGAGGACUGGCUAAAUGAUGGCACUUCAUUCUGCAGAAUCUUUUUUUGUAGUCAAAAAGAACAAGUUAGAUCUAUAUGUGUGAACAUGGAAAGGUGUACAUGACUUAAGUAGAAAAAUUAAGUUGCAGAACGA
This is a long non-coding RNA of Homo sapiens (human), 1859 nucleotides long. Ensembl annotates it as APRG1 tumor suppressor candidate. Its record names the gene APRG1. NCBI's taxonomy places the organism in Eukaryota, Metazoa, Chordata, Mammalia, Primates, Hominidae. The record is from Ensembl.